RNAcentral lists this long non-coding RNA (19425 nucleotides) under Manihot esculenta (cassava). RNAcentral's name for it is "long non-coding RNA (MESC_LNC012020)". The record is from RNAcentral. Lineage: Eukaryota; Viridiplantae; Streptophyta; Magnoliopsida; Malpighiales; Euphorbiaceae.
ACUUGAUGACUAGAAGAAAAAAAAAAAAGGUGACAUAGAGGAUGUUUGCUUUUCCUUCAAUUCCCAUAACAUUUUCUGUUGUCUAUAAUUUUAGUGACAUUUCAUCCAACCAACAGCUGUAGAAAUCUAGUGAUUCUCUUACCUUGUACUCUGGGACUGUAUAUCCUGCACCCUGCAUUUAUAGUGUAGUCUAAUUGUUAAAUCAAUUCUCAAUUAAAGCACACUGGUUUAUAAUCAUUAUUUUCAUUAUUAUUAAAAAUAUAAUAAUUAAGCAAAAAAGAAUUGCUUAUACCUUUAUGGUUAGAAAGGUGAAGUUGUAAUCAUAUCCUUGCAAGUACCUACAAGAGAAAUGAUAGCAUUUUAAAAGGUCAUUGAGUACAAAAAUAAAAAUAGAUAAAGAUUCUUAAGCAUUGUAGUAUGGAACCAAUUAGUUUUAGUUCUCAACUCAAUUUUAGGACUGAGUUCUCGAGUUAAGGCACAGUAGCAGCAAAAAAAAAAAUUGUAAAGGAGAUGGAGGGUUUACCAGCAACUUGAUCAUUAGAAAUCCAUAACCUCCAUUCAUCAACAAUCUUAUAUCAAAGAGAUCAAGUCCAUGUCUGAAUUCAAGCGAAAGGCACACGCAUAUCAUGGUUUCCACCACAGGUCAUUUGCAGUGUUAGAAAUUUUCAUUUUGUGGAAGAGAAUCACAGCUGAUCGAAAUUAAAAAUGAUAUUUGAAGAAGUUAGUUAAAUUACAUAUUUAUUAUAUUUGAAAAAGGUAAUUACCGAGUUGCGCUCCAAGACACACUUGAAUGGUCGAGAUAUAACAACUUUAGUUUGCUGAUCCCUCAUUGCGCACCUUUAAAAGCCUGAGAAUGAGAUCAUUAUUCCGCAAUAAAUGUACUACCAAUUCUGUGGUAGCAGCAUCAGCAGAGAACCACUUAUCAACCAUUUCGUUGAUUAGUUCUGAUGCUUUUGGUAAAUCCUCAUGCUUGAGAAACCCUUGAAUGAUGAUAUUAUAACAACAAUUAUUUGGUAAACAUCCUACCUUUUCCAUGUCUUUAAAUACCUUGUACACUUCAUCCAUUAAUCCUUGUUGGCAGAGUCCUUUCAUAAUUGCAUUAUAUACAUAAAAAUCAGGCUGUAAACCAAUUUCAAAAAGACUAGAAAAAAGUUCCUUGGCAUCAUUAAUCUUCCCAACUUUGCACAUACCAUUGAUCAGACUGCUAUAGAUCACAAAAUUAGGCUUCAACUGACUUUUCUCCAUUUCUUUCAAUAGUGUGAGUGCCUCAUCGAGAUUCCCCUGUCUACACAAGCCAUCAAUCAUAAUUGAGAAGGUUACUAUGUUUGGCUGUUGACCAUGAGAGGACAUAUUCUUCAAGAGCUCCUGUGCAGUUUGGGGCCUCCCUGCUUGAAACAUACCCUCUAUAAGAGUAGAAUAAGUAACAACAUCAGGAACUAAACAUUUAUGAGACAUUUCAUCAAAAAGUUCCUUUGCAUCAUCUAUCAUUUUGCACUUACAAUAUCCAUUGAUCAAUAUGUUGUAGCUAAAAAUGUCAGCUAUUUCACUGGUCACCAUCAGAUCAAAUACCUUUCCAGCCUUAUCAAUUUGCUUGCACAGACAAUAUCCAUCCAUCAAUGAAUUAUAAGUGACAACAUUAGGUUCCACACCUCUUUGAAUCAUUAUUUUGAUUAUAUUCUGUGCAAUUGAAACCAGUCCUUUCUUACAAAGAGUGUCGAUCAAUAUAUUGAAGGUAAAAACAUCAAGGGAUAUGUUCCUCCCUGUUGAAUCCCACAUCGGUUAUGAAAAGGGGUAAUGUGCCCCUUAUAUGGGUCACAGGCACUCCUCCCCCUUGAGCUAGCUUUUGAGAUGAGUUAGGACUGACCCAAAUUUAACACUCCCCACCAUUUCUUUCAACAAGGCCAAAGCUUCCUUGAAUCGGUCUGAAUUGCAAAGACCAUCAAUUAAGGAAUUGUAGGUGACCACAUCAGGCUCUACACCUCUUUGAAUCAUUAUAUUGAAUGUAUUUUGAGCCUCUGAAACCAUUCCAUCCUUACAAAGAGCAUCAAUCAAUACACUGAAGGUAUAAACAUUAGGUGAUAUGUUCUGCUCCACCAUUUCAUUCAUCAAGGCCAAAGCUUGGUUCUUUUGGCCUAAUUUGCAAAUACCAUGAAUUAAACUAGUGUAAGUGAUGACAUUAGCUGAAAUGCCCUUAUUCCUCAUUUGAGAGAAGAGCUCUAAAGCCUCACCAACUAGCUCAUCCUUGCAAAGGGCGUCAAUGAUUNNNNNNNNNNNNNNNNNNNNNNNNNNNNNNNNNNNNNNNNNNNNNNNNNNNNNNNNNNNNNNNNNNNNNNNNNNNNNNNNNNNNNNNNNNNNNNNNNNNNNNNNNNNNNNNNNNNNNNNNNNNNNNNNNNNNNNNNNNNNNNNNNNNNNNNNNNNNNNNNNNNNNNNNNNNNNNNNNNNNNNNNNNNNNNNNNNNNNNNNNNNNNNNNNNNNNNNNNNNNNNNNNNNNNNNNNNNNNNNNNNNNNNNNNNNNNNNNNNNNNNNNNNNNNNNNNNNNNNNNNNNNNNNNNNNNNNNNNNNNNNNNNNNNNNNNNNNNNNNNNNNNNNNNNNNNNNNNNNNNNNNNNNNNNNNNNNNNNNNNNNNNNNNNNNNNNNNNNNNNNNNNNNNNNNNNNNNNNNNNNNNNNNNNNNNNNNNNNNNNNNNNNNNNNNNNNNNNNNNNNNNNNNNNNNNNNNNNNNNNNNNNNNNNNNNNNNNNNNNNNNNNNNNNNNNNNNNNNNNNNNNNNNNNNNNNNNNNNNNNNNNNNNNNNNNNNNNNNNNNNNNNNNNNNNNNNNNNNNNNNNNNNNNNNNNNNNNNNNNNNNNNNNNNNNNNNNNNNNNNNNNNNNNNNNNNNNNNNNNNNNNNNNNNNNNNNNNNNNNNNNNNNNNNNNNNNNNNNNNNNUGGUGAAUAGCCUUUAAGGAUUCUGAUGCUACUAGCUUAGAGUAUGAAGUCGCUCUGUCUCACAUUAAAGGGUUAGCCUCUGAUUAUAUAUUACUAACCUUUCUUUCUUAUCUUUGGGGUUGUUAACAAAACAGCGAGAUUUCUCUUCUCGAUGGUUUGCUUUUCCCUUGCCCCAGCUCGGGCUUCCAUGCCGAGCUCUCGAGGUUCCGAAUCUUCAAGGCUGUACACCUGUGUCGAGUCAGUCUCAAUUGUUUCAAUUGUUCGAACUUUUAGGUCCUCUCGGACUUUGAAGUCGAUCGCGAAUUUCAGGUCAACAGGAUCAAAGUUUGCUCUAUCUCCUGAUGAUGUCUUUCCGUAUGUGUUUUACGAUGUUGAAAGUUCCACUUGUUCCAUUGCUCUUCAGAAUGUUUCGCUAAUUUUCUGGUGUUGCCUUCACUUGUUCCAUUGCCCUUCAGAAUGCCUUGCUGGUUUUUUGUUGGUGCUUCGGGCAGGUGAACGGGUAAUGAUGCCGAUCUCCCUGGGACUUUAACUCGAAGACUUAUGUUUUUCAUGAGAUCGGCAUAUAAUAUCUGAGCUCGUUCGUAUGUAUCGCAAAUCACAUCUCGAGGCGGAGCUUAGUUGGUUUACGAAGUCGAUUUUCCGAACUAUAAGAAUUCCUCGGAAUCGAAGGCUAAGGUAGUAGGGUAGGCGAUAGUGAUGUAAACGUAGAUGAUGAUGUAUCUGGGCGUGUAAAUCCUUUAAGGAUAGCCUUUUAUCCCGUAGUGUUGGUAUUUGUGACAUGCUGUAAUGUGUUUUUCUUUUAAUGAAAUUUUUAUUUUGCGUUCAUACUCGAACUGUCCUUUCUUUAUCAUAAAUAAAGUACUUAAAUUGCUUGCUCUGUAACUUUUCCCGAAGGAUCUGCUGUAUUGCUUUCUCCUUCUUGCCCUUUUAAUCGUUCAAAGCUAGAGUUCAUUCAGUCAACUGAGCUUUUGACUUACUUUUUUCUGAGCUGGACUAGUCGUACUCGUGAGCUCUGUUUUAAUCCUCUGAGCCGAGCUCUUGACCUUCUUAGGUAAUAAGCAGGGCUGGUCUUUAUCGUGCUUUCAUCUGCUUGUGUCUUUGAGCUUUUUAUUUGAGCUGGAUCAGUCGUAACCCUGAGCUCUGCUUUUACCCUAUGAGCCAAGCUUCCGACCUACUUAGGUAAUGAACAAGGCUGAUCUCUAUCACCGGGUGAGAGGUCCAAGUGGAGCCUGGUCUUACGGUUUGAGCGAGUUGGAUUUGUUCUAUGCAGAUGGCAUGUGGGCUUUCGGGCCUGUCCGUCAAUUGCUUUCGGGCGAUGGGCUAUUGCCGUGGGCCCAACCCUUAAUAGAGGUGGCGAAGUCCAGCGGCCGUCGGUUAUUGCCCCUUUACCUUCGAUUAUUGUCCCUUUACCUUCGCGUCAGUUAUUGUAUAACUGAUGAGGGGGUAAACUUCGAGAGUAAUUAAUGACCGCGCCGCUCCAAGACAAAAUUGUUCAGAGUGACAUUGCGUUUCAUUAUUGCCUCUUUGUCUCUCGAAGAAACUUGUUCUCGUCUGCUCUCUGUUUUCCUUCGACUUCUUCUGCCUCCUCGACCUUAUUGCUUUUCAGGUACGCUCUUUUACUCUUCCAUGGAGGAUUCUAAACUUCCCGAUGUUGUCAAUCUCGAGUCGCACAUUACUCCUUCCUCCAUAACCAAGCAUAUUUCUCGGAGUUAUUUAGAUACUCCUCUUUACCUUAUUCGCGCUCCUCUCCGGAAUGAAAGGAUAGUUCUCCCUAAACCUGCCCCUCCUGGUUUGGUAGAUCCCCAGAGGGGUCUUCGCAUAGUCUUCUUUCUUAAACAGAGGGAUUUUGGUCUGACUUUCCCCUUCACCCCUUUCUUCAUCGAGGUUUUUCAAUAUUUUGGGAUAACCCCCCGGAUGUUGUCCCCGAACUCCAUUUUGUUUAUGGCUUGUUUUGAAUCUAUUUGCCUGAGUUGGGGUUUUACACCCACAGCGUGUCUAUUUGUCACUUUCUUCCGCCUUGUUAGGGCAACUCAGAAAUUUUACUAUUUUUCUCCCCGUGGUGGAUUGUCUCUUUUCACGGGCUACAAGGAUUCAAUAAAGGGAUGGGUAGAGAAUUUCCUUGUGGCGGAGCUAAGAAAAGAUGUCGGCGUGUCAUGGGGAGUGGGGCUAGACUGGGAGGAUGUCCCCCCGGGCAUCAACGACCUGCCCCAACUAAGUCUCACCGAGCAGGUGGGGUAUCUCCGACUGACUUCUUCGACAAGAAGUAUGACGUCGAGAGAUGUAUGUUCGCGUCUAAUCUUAGGAAUAUCCGGGACACGGGUAUAAUGCCUUGUUUAGCAACUCCGCUUUUCUUCGUAAGUGACAUUAGAAAGUACGCUAACUCUUUCUGACUUUGUGUUUUUUGGCAGCUUCUAACGUUAAAAUGGAUGAGAUCAAGCCCCCGAAGAACUUAGUUCUGUCUAGGGAGAGUAUGAACGCUGCUUUAGAUGCCCUCCUGGCUGGGCGCCCCGUGCCUGAGGUCGCUGCAGAGGUGGCUCGGGUUGUUUCUACCAAGAAGGUUAGCCGGUCUCUUGCUAGAGCUCCUUCUCGGGCUCCAAAGUCGAGCUCCCAUGGUGCCAGACCCUCUCGAUCAUCUCGUCAGGGUAGGUCGGACCCUGCCUUGAAACCUGUUCAGGAGGCUAAAUCUGGUCAGGGUUCUACAGAGGAUGCGGAAGGAGCUCCCCUAACUGUUGUGAAGCAGGCCAGGGAUAUUGGACAGAUGAGGACGGAUCUUGCUCUUUCUGCUGAGGAGGCACCAGGGGGGAGGCUUGAAUCCCCUAUUAUUGAAGAGGGGGAUCCUGGAGCAGGACUGGAGAUCGUUCUUGUUGACGAUAGUGCCCCAGAGGUUCCUACCAGGGGUGCCCCUGAGGAGGUGAGGUCUGACCUUGCCAAGGGCGAGGAUGUCAUAGAGAAGGUAGGGGACAAACGUCCUGCCUCCCUCGAAGUGCCAUCCCCGGCCCCAGCUCAAAAGAGAUCCAAGGCUUCUAAGGGAUCAGCUCCAGCUCUCCCUCCCAUUGGGAAAGAGAAAGAAGUCCCUGUGAUACCACUGCUGUCUGCUCCUGAUAACGACAUUCUGAAUGCAAAGGAUAUCACUCAUCAGUCUCCGGCUAGCGUGGUUGCUGAGAUUGUCAAGGAACGGAUGUUCGGUGGCGUCUUGGAGGCUUCAGAUCCGCGCUUGCUUGCUCUCACUGGCCUUUUGGCCAGCUCUACUAGGGAGCAAGCAGCGUUCCGUUCCCGACCUCGCGAGGAGCUCGGAGCUACGAUCAGGGAGAUGCUCCUGAUGGUAAGCUAAGCUACCUCCUUUGCUUUUAUUCUGGUUUUUUUUGUGUUAACAGUCUUUUCCUUUGCUUUAGGUGAUGGGCCUCUUCAUGGAGGUGGAUGCCCGUGAUCACUUGCUUCGGGAGUCUGUGGACCGCCGGAUAGAGGAGGCGCGCCUGGAGGAGAAUUUGUCUGCCACUAGUGAUGCCAGGGGUAACCUUACAGCGGCUCGAGCUCAUACUGAGUUCCUCCAAGCGGAGCUGCAUUCUGCCUUGGAGGCCCUCAAAAGAGCCGACGAGAGGACGGCUGAGGCACAAGAGCAUACUAAGUCCUUGGAGGUAGAGUUGUCUCAUACUCGCAAGGUUCUCAAGGAGUCUGAUGAGAGGGCGGCUGCAGCAGAGAUUCGGAGUGAAGAAGUUUUAAAGCAGCUGUCCUCCCUGGUGGAGACUCUUCGUGAAAGGGAUGAGGCGAUAAGCCAGAAGGAGGCGGUCCAGCGCCAGUAUGAGGCCCUGAAGGCUGAUUUUGAAGGGCUUCAGGUUCACCUAAAUAAGGUGAAUAUUCAAAAGGAGGGGGCCUUGGUUCGGGUGGAGAUCCUUGAGCAGGAGCUGAGCACGAGUUCUGCGCGUAUCAGAGACCUGGCUUCAUCAGCCGAGGAGUCUACGCUUCGUAAUCAACAGCUUAGCCAUGAAGUCAGGGCUGCAGAGCGUAAAUGUUCAGCCCUGCUCAAGGUGGUUAAACAUUCGGAGGAGAAGAUCCAGCGGGAAUGUGAGAGGCGGCUGGAGGAGUAUCAGGAGUCGGAUGAGCUGAAAGGAAAGAUUGAGUAGGCCUGUGAAGCUCACCUCCAAGACUAUAAGGAUUCUUCUGAAUUGAAGGCGGUUAUAGCUGAGACCUGCGAGGUGCAUCUGGACGAGUAUAAAGCCUCCGAGGAGAUGAAGGCUGCUAUUUGGAAAAAAGCCUUUCGUAUGUUUAGAUCUGGCUAUAAUAGGGGUUUAAGGGAAGCCAGACGUGCUCCUGAUACUCCUCUGACAAAACUUCGAGCUAGAGAAAUGGAUUCUGAUGGAGAAGAGGUUCUGUAUGGGGAGGAUGAUUUCCCCUUGCCUAGGGGGACCUCUCGUAUUGCGGCUAGGUCUCCUGGGGAAGAGUCCGAGCAACAUGGGGACAAUAUGGAGGACUUCAGGACUGAAGGCGAAGACCUCGAGCCUGAGACGGGAGGCCCUGACCCAGGGUUGGAGGGUGCCAGAUCUCCUCUGGAUGUAAAUGUGGAUAGAGAUACUAUAGGUGAUGAUAUUCUGAGAGAUGUAAGUCCCUUGAGGACUGUUUUUCCUUCAGAUGUAUCAGAUAAAUAAGUUGUACUAUCUUCUUCUUCUAAUGAGAGUUUACUUUCUUUUACUUGAACUAUUGUUGCUUUUAUUUUCUUCUUGAACUUAUCUUUUCUUAUCGUAAUUGGAGUACUUAACCUUUAUAUUCGACUGAGAUAUUUCACUAAGAAACUUCAGAUCGCAUACCUUUUAAUGGUAAAUAACAGGGCUGAUUGUAGCUGAGGUAUUCUCUGUUUGAUGCUAAAUUUUCCUCGGAUUGCCCCUUUACUUCCGCAAUAUUUAUUACAUUAGUAGUGAGGAAGUAAAUUUCUGUAUUUUAUUUGCGCUCGCAUGGCCUCCCCUUAGGCGAUUUUAUUUUGCCUUUUUUGGUUGUGAGAUCGGCUGUCUGGCGCUUGCCUUUCUGUGUGUUCCACGGGGAGGUCGGCUUUUGUCGUUUUUGCUUCUUGUUUGGGUUGUUCUUGUUAAAUGUCUGCUUAUGACCAAUUGGCUCGAGCUAGGAACGCGCUCUUUUGCCUGUAUCCAUCCUUCUGAAUGUCACAUAUUGCGAAACUAUCCGAGCUAGGAGAUCGGUUCUUUGCUUUUUGCUUUAGGCUUUUAUACCUGCAAUUUGCAGCUCGUCCUAUACUUCUGAGUAUUGUCAGGACGCGUUGCAGUUCGGACCUUUUUCUAGGCUAGCGAACUCAGCACUAGAAGUUGAUUUGUGAGGUUAAUGUUGCGCCGAGCUCGCUUUUUGGAGAUUGGCCUGGGGCUAUGACGCUCUUGGCGAUUUUGCCCCGAGCUCUUCCGGGAGGUCGGAAUUUGAUUUUUCAUCAGUAACUUAGGAUUUAUCUUCUUUUUUUUUUUUUCUUUUUUUCCGGGAGUUCUAGGGGAUCCCGGUCUUCUUUGUUUUCCCGGGAGUUCUAGGGGAUCCCGGUCUUCAUGCUCCGGGAGGUCUUUUAAGAUCCUCACCAGCCGUUUUUAUUUUGUUUUCCCGGGAGUUCUUGGGGAUCCCAGUCUUCUUUGUUUUCCCGGGAGUUCUUGGGGGAUCCCGGUCUUCAUGGUUUUCGUAUUUUGUUUUUCUUAUUGAAAAGUGACAUUCAUAAUAGAAAUAACAUUAUCGUAUAAAGAAUGUCAUUAUUUUAUUCAGUUGUGUUUUUCAAAGUAUAAUAACAUUUUUUUUUUUUUACAAAUGUUUCAAGGGAAAUACCUCUUCAAGUGUUGGAUAUUCCAAGCAUGGGGCUCGGGAUUUCCUUUCAUAUCUUCAAUUCGAUAUACUCCUGGUUUGACUACUUUCGUUACCCGGAAUGGGCCUUCCCAGGUCGGUGCUAGCUUGCCUACCGCCGCUCUUUUUCCCGUAGCCUCCAGGUUUCUCAAGGCUAGGUCCCCCACUUUCAAGUUUCUUUCUCGGACCUUUUGGUUAUAAUAUCGUGCUGCCCGUUGCUGAUAAGCUGCAGUUCGGAUUUGAGCCUCUUCUCUAAUUUCUUCGAGAGCAUCCAGGUUGCUCCUUAUCUUAUCAUCAUUAGUGUUCUCACUGACGAAUUGGACUCGAUGAGUGGGGAUCUGCAACUCCACUGGGACUACCGCCUCUGUGCCGUAGGCAAGUGCAAAAGGUGUUUCUUUAGUGGACGUUCUGGGGGUAGUCCGAAGUGCCCACAGGAUACUGUUGAGCUCUUCUGCCCAGUUUGCUUUUGCUCCAUCCAGCCGCUUCUUUAAUCCCUGGAGGAUAGCCCUGUUAGUAACCUCUGUUUGGCCAUUAGUCUGGGGAUGAGCCACGGAGGAGAAUUUGUGCCAUAUGCCCAUGUUUGCUGUAAAUACUUUGAAAGUACUACAGUCGAACUGUCUGCCGUUGUCUGAGAUAAGCACUCUUGGUAUACCAAAUCUGCAAAUGAUGCUUCCCCAUACGAAGUCUUAUCAUCUUGCGAGCUGUGAUUGUGGCUAUUGCUUCUGCCUCUGGCCAUUUUGAGAAGUAUUCUACAGCCACUACUACGAACUUUUUCUGCCCCGUGGUCUUGGGGAAAGGUCCCAGGAUGUCUAUUCCCCAUUGUGAGAACGGCCAUGGGCUGGAUAUGCUGGCUUGUGGAGUGGCUGGAACCUUGAUGGCGUUAGCGAAUCUUUGGCAUACGUCACACCUUCGGACGAACUCUUCUGCUUCCCUUUUGACGGUGGGCCAGUAGUAUCCUUGCCUGAAUAUUUUAUAGGCUAACGUCUCUGCCCCUUCGUGAGCUCCACAUACUCCCCUGUGUAUCUCUUCCAUCACCCUUAUAGCCUCCUCCGGGCUCACGCACCGGAGCCAUGGACUGGACUUGCCUUUUCUGUACAAGGUCCCCCUUACUGCUUGGUAAUUGGCAGCUCGAGUUGCUAUCUUCUUGGCUUCCUCCUUAUCCUCAGGGAGUUUUCCCUUCUCCAGGUACUCUAGGUAUGGGGUCAUCCAAGUUGGGCUUUGUUCCACCUGCAACACCGUGUUAGUUUUACUAAAAGCAGGCACGAGAACGUGUUGUAUGUAUACUUCAUCAGGGAGCUGUUCUAGCUCUUCUUUGGACAAUCGGCUGAGCAGGUCGGCUUCCUCGUUCUCUUCUCGUGGUAUUCUUUGGAAUUUGAUGGUAACUCCCUGAUCUAUGAACUCGGCCUCUAUUGCUUUUACUUUUGCCAGAUAACUCUGCAUGGUUGGAUCCCUAGCCUGAUACGCCCCAGUAACCUGAUUGACCACCAAUUGUGAGUCGCUAUUUACUUCGAGGUCGGUUGCCCCUACCUCCAUUGCCACCAUCAUUCCGUUUAUUAGGGCUUCAUACUCCGCCGCAUUAUUGGAAGCCUGGAAUUCUAGGCGCAGGGCGUAGCAAACCUUAAAGUCUCCAGGCCCCUUAAGCAUGAUUCCUGCACCGCUGCCUCCAGCGCCUGAAGCCCCGUCUACGUAUAACCUCCAAUUGAACUUUUGGAAAGGUUCUUCCUUCCUCUCCAUUCUCGUUGCUUCGGAGGAUGAUUCCCCUUGUUCCUUACUGAACGUGCAUUCUGCUAUGAAAUCGGCAAGGGCUUGAGAUUUUAUAGCUGUUCGAGGUCGGUACUCCAGGCAGUAUGGGCUAAUCUCGAGGGACCAUGCGAGCAUCCGACCUGAAGUUUCUGGUCUAUGCAGAAUCUUCUUUAAUGGUUGAUCCGUCAUCACUACUCCUUGGUGGCUUUCCAGGUAAACCCUGAACUUCCGGACUGCCAACAAUAGAGCGUAUGCUAUUUUCUCAAUGUUCAUAUAUCUGACCUCGGCAUCUUUAAGCACCUUGCUAACAUAGAAUACAGGCUUCUGCUCCCCUUCUUCCACCCUUACCAAUACGGCACUAACUGCUUGUUCAGAGGCUGCCAGGUAUAUCAGAAGUUCUUCACUUUCUAUGGGGCUACUGAGCACAUGGGGCGAGCUGAGAUAACUUUUGAGCUCUUUGAAGGCUUCACGACAAUCUUCUGUCCAUUCGAAGUUUGGCACUUUCCUCAAUUUUCUGAAGAAUGGUAAACACUUUUCUGCCGACCGUGACAUGAAUCGAUUGAGUGCCACUACUCUCCCUGUCAGUUUCUGGACGUCCCUUACGCAGGUUGGUUCUGACAUAUUUAAUAUGGCCUCUACUUUCUCCGGAUUGGACUCGAUGCCUUUCCCACUCACCAUGUACCCCAGGAAUUUUCCUCCUCUGAUAAAAAAGGCGCACUUUGCCGGAUUCAACUUCAUUCUGUACUGAUCUAAUACUCCAAAUACCUCCUUCAGAUCUGCCACGUGCUGUUGGAAAGUUAGGCUCUUGACCACCAUAUCGUCUACGUAAACUUCUACAUUCCUGCCGAUCUGCUCUUUGAAGAUUUUGUUCAUCAGUCUUUGGUAAGUUGCCCCGGCGUUUUUCAAUCCGAAAGGCAUGGCUUUAUAGCAAUAAGUCCCAUCUUCCGUUAUGAACGAGGUUUUUUCUUCAUCCGACCUAUACAUUGGGAUUUGAUGAUAACCAGACAUUGCAUCCAAGGACGACAUGUAAUCAAAACCGGCCGUAGAGUCGACCAUUUUAUUAAUAUCAGGGAGGGGAUAACAAUCUUUAGGGCAGGCCUUAUUCAGAUCAGUAAAGUCUAUGCACAUCCUAUAUUUGCCAUUGGCUUUUUUGACUAAUACAGGAUUGGCUAACCACUGCGGGUACAUAACUUCUCUAAUAAAGCCUGCCUCCUCUAGCUUCUGUACUUCCUCCUUGGUGGCCUGCUACUUUUCCCUUCCUACUACCCUCUUUUUCUGCUUUAUUGGUCUGGUUUCAGGGAGGACAUUCAUUCUAUGGGUCAUCACCCCGGGGUCAAUUCCGGGCAUGUCCGAGGGUUUCCAGGCGAAGCUUGAUGCAUGACCUCGAAUCAAGGACAUCACCUCGGUUUUCUGCUCCUUGGUGAGGCCGGCGUUGAGACUGAAGGUUUUGUUUGUUUCCGUUUCUGAUAAGGAGAAAGUCUCUAGUUCCCCCACCGAUUCUGUUCUGGCUUCUGUUUUCUCAUCCCGGACCUCCAGGACUUCUGAAUCCAUCUUUUCUGCUGUUAAUCUCGGCUCUGCUACGAUAGCCAGGUACACUGCCCUUACUUUCUCUUGACUUCCCCGAACUGUUCCCACCCCUGCUUCUGUGGGGAAUUUCAUUGCCAAGUGCCUGAUACUGGUGACAGCUUCAAAGUCGAACAGCACAGGUCGUCCCAGAAUCGCGUUGUAGCUCAGAGGGAGUUUAGCCACCAAGAACACCGCAUAAUGGGUGCGAGCCCUCGGGGCCUCUCCCAAAGUAAGGGCUAGCUUUACUUUCCCUUCCACUGUUACUGGUGCUCCUCCAAUCCCUUUAAUCGGCGCUUGAUCCCGAACCAGUUGCUCUUCCGGAAUGCCCAUCUGCUGGAAGACUCAAUAAGGCAACAAAUUUACCUUGCUUCCGUCAUCCACCAAGAUUUUCUUUACCCGAUAAUUAUGAAUAACAACUUCAAUGACAAGGGCGUCAUCGUGAGGCAUCUGAACACCCUGAGCAUCCUCCGAGGAGAAAGUGAUGGUUGUUGAAGAGUGUUCAACAAUUUGCAUGACCUCGGCGUUGCUAGUUUCUCCUUCUCUGCUUCUCUUUUUUUCCCCUUCGGCUCAUCCGACCUCCCGUGCCUCCUACGAUCAUGUUGAUAGUUCCACUGGACCCAUCAUUCACAGCGUUAGCUCCUGUUCUUCUCAGCGUUUGAGCUGCCGGACUGGGUUGAGGUCUCUGUCCCUCCGGUUUCUUUACAAAGUUCUUUAGGUGCCCUCUUUUUAUCAACCUCUCAAUUUCUGCAAUCAACUGGAAACAAUUGUUGGUGUCGUGACCGUGAGUUCGGUGGAACUGACAAUAUUUGUCAGGAUUUCGCUGGUCAGCUUCUGUUUUCAGGGGCAUGGGCCAUUGCAAGAAUUCUUUGUCCUGAACGGCUACGAGCACUUCGGCUCUAGAGGCAUUAAGUGGGGUUGGCUUCUCUGGAACCCAUGAAGGAAGUGGCCUUUGUUCUGAGGACCGAGGAGAAAAAGGUCUUUGGUCCCUUCACUCCCAAGGCUGUCUGUAAGGUUCGGACCUUUUGCCAUGUUUCUUUUCAUGCUUCUCCGGCCUCCUUUCCUCUGGGGCUUUCUCCUUGCCUGUCGUUCCCUUGGCGAAUCGACUUGUCACGAGAGCGUCAUCCUGUCUUAUAUACUUCUCAGCCCUCUUCAUUAGCUCGGCCAGUGAGGUCGGAGGCUUCCUGCUUAAUGAACCGAAAAACUCGGCGGAGGUCAUCCCUUUCUGCAUGGCCUCCACCGCCCUUCCUUCAUCGAGCUCGGGAAUCUGCAAGGCUUCUGUAUUGAAACGAGCUACGUACUCUCUAAGCGAUUCUUCCCGUCUUUGCCUUACUGUUUCCAGAUAACUCGUCUUCCUAUCCGCUGGUGCCCCGGCGAUGAACCGGCUAAUGAAACGAGUGGCUAGGUCUCCAAAACUCCUAAUGCUUCCAGUCUCCAGGCUGUUGAACCACGCUCGCGCUGGUCCUAAAAGUGUCGUUGGGAAUACCUUGCACAUCAAGGCAUCCGAUAAAGUUUGUAAUUCCAUGAAGGUCUUGUAAUUCAUGACAUGCUCCCUUGGGUUACCAGCGCCGUCGUAGGCUGCCAUGGACGGCAUCAUAAACUUCUUAGGGACAGUUUCCUGCUGCACCCACUUCGAGAAAGGCGAAGAAGUGGGCAGAAAGGUUUGGCUUUGAUCUUUCUUUCCCAGCUCGACCAAAAGCUGCUCUCUCAACUUCUGCAGCUUUUGGUCCACAUCUUCCUCUUCCGGCCUGGGUUUUUUCUCCAGGCGAUACUCCUCUUCCUCUGCUUCACUCCUGGUCCACCUGGUUGUCUCGGCGGAAUAGUUGUCGGCCUCCUCAUUUUCUAUCAUCUCCCUCGCCCUUCUUCCGUGGACUCGGGCCUCCGGCUCUUCCUCUUCUCCGGUUCUUCUCUCCCUUACCCCGGCGCCGCGGCUGCUGGUUUGAAGGCGAUCAGGGGUCGGUUAGGGCUCAUUGGUCUGGGGUUCUUCUACUACUGGGAGUGCGUUCACUGGGUGCCAAGGCCCCUUUGCUGCAUUAUCUGCCCCAACCAGUGGGUGGUGCUUUGUAGCUGGAAUGCGAUAGUUUGGAGGUCUUGGUUGGACAAGGCCACUGCGGGCGCGUUCCCUGUCAAGCUUGGCGAGGGGUUGAAAGAAAUGGGUGGUUGGUUAUUGGUAGUCGUAGGACUAGGAAAAGAGAACUGCUGUCCUUCUUGGGCAGAGUUCAAGUCGUUUGGGAUGUUGAGGUUGUUUUCGUUAUGAUUGGCCAUCGUGGAUCUCAGUGGGUUUGGUUAAGAGUGGAACUCGGUGAUGAAAAGAUCUCCUUCGUUUCCCACAGACGGUGCCAAUUGAUGAUCUGAGAUCCAGAGAAAUAGGGUUUUCACAAUGGGCUCUGUAAAACUUAGAAAAAACUUAAAUCUAGAAGAGAGCAUUUCUCCUUUUAUAGGUUUCCUUUUGUCCGCUAGUGACGUGCCGAUAGAACGAAUAUCAGUAGUCCACCUGUCCCUGCCACGCUGAUACGGACGUACAAAGGGAUCAAAUCUCUGCCCCAUGCAUAACGGUCUCUGAUCCUCUCCAGGCUAGGGUAGGCGGGUCUACAAUAUUAUAUAAUUAAUGACUUUUUCUUGUGCCACUGUACAUUUUCUCUUUUCCUUUCCCACUUCCCACCACUCUCCUCUUCCAUUUUCCUUCAUUUAUAUUCCCUACCACCAUUACCACCUCUUCAACAUUGUCACCCUUAUUACCAUCCUUUUUUUUUAUUCUUAAGUUGUCAGAUUUAUCUCUUCUGCCUUAUCUUACACUGAGAUUCAUGAUUUUCAAAGUUCCUACACUUCUGGCAUCAAGCAGGCCUCCAUUCAUAAAUCACAUGUUGAGAGAAUUGAUGGCUACUCUAUCUUCUAGAAUAACAGCUUCAAGGAACACCCCUUAACAAGUCCAUUUUUACUGAUAUUCUUGCAUAACCCACUUCGCCCUCUUCACAGUUUCCCAUCGUGCUACCUAUCUACUCAGCAUCUCUACAUUCCAGAACUUCCAAGGCAACUCUGGGAGUUGUACUUAUAUAGACAUUUUUUACAUUGAUUCCAAGUCAAUUCUCAACAUCAGCUUCCAUUACAUCAAAAUUAAGGGGUUUUUUUUUUUUUUAUCAAAGAUAUAAAGUCUAUUCUCAAAUACUCAUCUCUUUCUCUCCUCAAAUACUCAUCUCUUUCUCUCCUCAAGUUGGAAGUUAAACUAGUAAAUAUUAUCUUUCAUAAAAGAGAUAGAGUUUAGACUACACCUCUUCUAUUUGCUCAUAGCGAAACUCUCAAUUCCUUGAACUCAAUGAUUCAUUUCAAAUAUACUCCUUAUCAACCUAUUUCUUUAUCUCACAUAUUCACUCUACACAUCUAUCGCUCUGAAUAAUCGUAAUUCCUCUCUGGAUGCCUACUCCUAUUCUAAGAGAAUAAACCUGCCCAAUUUUUUUUUAGGCAAAAGACUCAUUUUAGCCCUUUAGUUACUAGCCAAUAGUCAAUUAAGUUCUUAAAGAUUUUUUGGGUCCAAUCAAGCCCCUUAACUUUCAAUUUUGACCUAAUUAUCCUACAUAUUAUAAUUUUAAGCAAAUUAAAUCCAAAUCAAUAAUUGAAACAUAACUUUAUUAAAUAUUCAUCCAUUAAAAUAUUUUAAAAUUUUUAAAAUUGAAAAAUCAAGAACAUUAUCUCCAAAACUGCAGUAACCUCUUACCUUCAAAACUAACCUAAAAAAUCUAGACAUGUUUUCUUAAUUAGCGAUGUAUGGAGAGUCAUGCUUUCAUGUCAUUCAUCUUGGAAGUUGAUACUUAUCGUUUCACCAUAUUUAUCAUUUCACCUUCAUGAACCGCCAUGGAAGAAAGAUCCACAUUGUCAUCAAACAUAAAUUCACAAACCCACUCAACAUCUUGAACUCAACAUCUUGACCAUAGUAUCAUUAGUAUUUUCAACUAACAUGAAAGUAGUUCUUGAGUUUGGAGGGUGUAUAUUGACAGUGGCAUAUAAAGGAAGCUUAAAGAGCACUUCUAAGUCAUUUGUGUUAGCUGAAUUAAGAGGAGAGAUGCUAGAGAUGCAAGUAGAAAGAUAUUGAGUAAUAAUGCUUUGAGAUUGGGUGGGUAAGUAAACGAUGAUAGAGAUGAGGAUGGAAUGAAAUGGGAUUAGAUUUUAUAUAUUCAUUUUUUUUAUAAAUGAUUUAUUUAGUUUUAUUUUAAUUACUUAAAACAUAAAACUAAUAUUUGAUUCCUUAAAAACUUAUUUGACUUUGUUAAUUAACACGGUUAAAUUUAGAGUUAUUAAACUAAAAUUGAAAGUUGAUGGCUCGAUUGGACCUAAAAGUCUUUAAGGUCUUAAAUGAAUAUUAGCAAUAGAGAAAAUGUAUAUGAUUACUAAAACUAUCGAUUUGACAAAAGCGAUAGAAAAACCCUAAUUGCUUAUGUAAUAUCUAAACAAACAACCUUCCGAAGUCAAACUGUCUCUCCUUUUCUUACGAAUCUAAUCAGAAAUAGGGCAUAAAAACCUCUAGUAUGAUUCUUAGUCUGAUUGACGUUUAGAUAUCUCUCAUUCUCAAAGUUAGAUGAAUCACCAUAUUGGCGCUUUGAGUUUGCCCUCCAAAAAAUGUGUUCCUCUAGUUUCAAAAUCUCCACCCUAUUUUUGUGCAACCAAAUUUAACACUUUAGAAAUGUAUGUUUUUUGACAUUGCUCUGAUCCACUCUCUUUAGACAGGUGCUAAUGUGUUUUAUAUGGACAAAGAUAAUAAAGGAAAAUGCUCUUACUUCUCUCUCCGAUUACCAUAAGUAAUUUGGGUAUUAAAGUUUCUCAUUAUAUUGACUUUCACAUAAUCUGUAGGGCUGAACAUUCAAACUACAUGCACUAAAGUGGAAAUUUUAAUAUAUUUCAAAGACUGAACAAUAUUUUACUAUUUUUUUUUAUAUUUUUUAAUUUUUAUAUAUAAAAUAAUAUAAUAAUAACAAUUAUUAUUAUUAUUAUUUAACAUAGCAAAUUAAAUUUGGUCUCUUAUUAUCAUAAUAUCACAUUAUUAUAUGAAAAUAUUUAAUCGAAAUCAUCUAGAAAGAUCAUAAUAAAAUAAAAUUAAGAAAAUACAUUAAUUUAGUUGAUUUUAUUAUUAUAAAUGAAAUAUUUAAAAACUUUUUUAUUAAUAUGUUGAUAUCUGAUAUUCAAUGAAAUUAUCAAUAACAUAUAUUAAAAAAAAUUAUUAUAGCCCAAUUAUAUAUAAAUCAUAAGUAAAGAAAAAAUCAUCCUAAUACAAUAACAAUUGCAAAAUUAAUAUAAUAUAUUUUUAUUUUAUUUAAAAUUAUUAAUUUUCAAUAAUAAAUUAAAUUUGGUGAUUUAUAAUGUGAAAGAUAUGACUAAAGUUAUAAUACUUUAAUAUUUUUAUUUUACAUAAAACUAUGAAAAUUUAAUAAUAAAUUAUAUUUAGACAUUUAUAAUUUAAAAGAUACUAAUAAUAUUUUUAGCAUAUAUAACAUUUAUUGUUAAUUAUUUUAUUUAGAAUUUGAUUUUAAUAUAGUACAAAAUACUAUAUACAAAAUUUUACUCUUAUACUUGUGUUAUGAAAAUCCAUUUCACCUAAAUUAUCCGUUCCAACUAAUUUAAGAAAAUUUUAUCAAGUAUAUUGCAAGAUUAUACAUGUGUUAUACAUAGAGUUACCUGCAAAGUCAGAGAAAUCCAUUUCACCUAACCGGCCUAGAAUCAAAAAUAUAUUUGACAAAGUCCUUAAUUUCAUCUAAAUCCUAUACACGCACACUCUACAACUAAUGUGAGUUCCGAAGGUCCUCAGUGGUUUCAUAAGUCUGAUUUUCAUUGUUAAAGCCAAUCUUCUUUUGCUUCAGUGGUUUCAUAAGUCUGAUUUUCAUUGUUAAAGCCAAUCUUCUUUUGCUUAUAAUUUUUAAACCAACCAGGGUAUCUAUGUGCCCAAAAGUUUUACAAAUGUCACAUAAUCUAUCUUAACUCUAUCUGAAACUCUUUAUAAAAGCUUUACAACUGAUUAAUUCUCUCACUCUCAAGCUAUACUUCAAAAGCACCACAUUCACAAAUAGUUAAAUGAUGCUUUGAAACACCAAGUUCAUCCCAUAGUUUCUUCAAUUUUGUAAAGAAAACAACAACUAAUAUAGAUCCUUGACUGAAACUACUUAAUUCUUUCUUUAAUUUGUAUAUAAGUGGCUUAAAUCUUUCUUCUAAUUUCCUCCCAUAAAUCCUUUGCACUAUAUGCAUACAAAAAACCUCCACUAGAUCCUUAGAGAUGGAAUUCAAUAUCUAACUCACCAUGCUAUCAACUCUCAUCCACUUCUCAAAACCAGUGGAGCCAACAGGAGGAAUUUGCACACAACGAUUUACAAAUCCUAACUUGUCUUUUGCUCUUAAAGCAUCAUAGAUAUACUCCAACUCCAAUAAUUUAGUCCAUUUAAAUGUGCAGAUAUAAAGAUCAUACCUGGAUUAUCUGAGUUUUAAAGAAUCAAAGGAUCUGAAUUAUUUGCAAUUGGUUUCCUACCUCUCAAUAUGUACCCUGUCGAACCCUACCUUCUCUGACAAAACUAACACUUCCAUUUGCCAUGGAUGCAGAAUAAAAAAAAAAAAAAAAGCUUCAAGAAUUACGCAGCAAGCAAAAAGAAAAAUACCAUGUAUAAACAAAAGCUCAAAGAAAAUUUUAUUGAGUAUAUUACAAGGUUUACAACGUGCUAAACACAAAAUCUCGCAUAAUUUACAGCUGAAAGGAGAAAAGAAACAACCAAAGCAACUUUUUUUGCCUAACUUUUCUCAAACAGUAAGAAACAAUGUGUUUCGCCUUCAUAACAACAUACAAACGUAUCACAAAAUGCACCACAUAAAUAACUCAAUAGGUGGUCCAACACUAAAAUAUAUUUGUUAUAUACCAUAUUGACAAAAUGGUCAUACUUGAUUGUAUUAUUAUUAUAUAAUAAAGAUAUAUCAUACAGAAAUGAUUUCCUAAGUAUUUUUCCUUAAUAUACAGCUAUUGAAACUAAUUUACUAUCACACGAUUCAACAAUCUCAACAAAUAAAAUUGGUAGAUUUCUGUAAACCAAGAAACCAAAAAAGAGGAUGUUUGCUUUUCCCUCAAUUCCCAUAACAUUUUUUGUUUUCUAUAAUUUUAGUGACAUUUCAUCCAACCAACAGCUGUAGAAGUAGAGUGAUUCUCUUACCUUGUAUUAUGGGACUGUAUAUCCUGCACCCUGCAUUUAUAGUGUAGUCUAAUUGUUAAAUCAAUUAUCAAUUAAAGCACACUGGUUUAUAAUCAUUAUUUUCAUUAUUAUUAAAAAUUAUAAUAAUUAAGCAAAAAAGAAUUGCUUAUACCUUUACGGUUAGAAAGGAGAAGUUGUAGUCAUAUCCUUGCAAGUACCUACAA